UUUUUAUUUUUCAUACAUUCCUAUUUACAAACAAUAUUACUUUUAAUAUGGUUUCCAAAUGCACCCUGUGUAAUUAUUCUAUUGAUGUCCUGUGCCCCCCCCCUUCCCUGCCAUUCUUAUUUAUUCAAGCGAUCACGUUACCACAUCAUUCCUUAAAAGUGCUUUAAUGUACUCUUCAAACCUCGACAGUACAUUGAUUUGACCCACUGUUUUAAUAGGAACGCAUGGUUUUGGUCUAUUUGGCGACACCUGCUGACCACGGGGAACGAAAACACUCUGCGGCCAUUUUGGUCCAAACUCUUUUAAGUUUUUCGGCUCAAUUUGUAGCUUUUUGUGUUUUGUUCUCUGCUGGUUCGUCUCGUGUUCUACUUUUACUAUUUAUCGUCAUACAUUUGGAUUUUUGUGACCCCUAAUACCGCUCUUGUUUAAUGUUUUGUUUACGUUUCUGCCCACGGAGGCCGCCAUCUUGGAUCUCCAACAUUAAUAUGGUUUGGAGUCACUUAGCACCCCCUGUUGGUGACCCAAAUUCAUUAUAACACCACGGUUCUCCAUGCUCCAUCUCCUGGAUGUUUGAUGGUAGUACAACGUACAAAAAUAACAUUGUUUACACGCUAUGUUUUUAUUGCGCUUUAAUUCAACCUUACGAUCGGCCCCCCUACUUUCACCAAUUUAUUAAUUUACCCUCCCGGCUCCCCAUUGACCCUUCCUGCGUCUUCCCCCUUUAUCUAGGCCCUCAAUUUAAUUUAUUUUAUUCGUUUUUUAUCGUCCUCCACCAUCCCGUGUCCCCCAGUCCCCUCUCAUUCAUCUCCCAUCCCCUACUCACCUGCUGCUUCCUCUUCCCUAUUGUAUAUAUGUAAUUUAAAAUGUAUAUAUAAUGCAAAUAAGGAUGCUUCUAAUGUUUGAACCGUAUUUACGGUCACAUUAUUACACAUUUUAUUGUUCGGGGCACGUUCGAUCUUUUAUGUUUUUAUUAUUUUCUGUUAUUUGUUUUUGUCCUCCACUGCUAUAAUUUAAUGCAACGGGGUCAUUUGAUUAUGUUUUUAUUAAAUUCUGUCGCGAGCUGUCAGUCCAACACCACCCGGUUUAGGGACAAUCAGCGACCACUGCUGGCGGCUCCGGAAGGUGCAGGCACCAUGGUCCUCCUCACUCCACCUGCUGGUGACAGAAUUAUGCUACAUUGUUGCAUUAUUGCACAAUUACAUUUGAAAAUUCAACCUCCCUAUUGGCCCAAUUCAAAUCUCAAAGCUGUUUAUCCUCCUGACCCCCCAUUGGCUCUCCACCUGACCCCCCAUUGGCUCUCCACCCCAAAUUUCAAAAUUGUUGUGAUGCACCGGCCCCCCAUUGGAUGCCUCUACCCCAGAUGUCAACUUUCCCCUCCCUCUGUUGUGUGUCUAUAAAAGUAUUUGUUUUUGUGCUGUCACAUUUGUGCUCUGUUCCCUCGGCUUGCGUGGAUUCUCUGUCAUAGGGUCUGUUUCUAUUGCUACUAAAUUUGUACCUGAUGAAGUCAAUUAUUUGACGAAACGUCGUACUAGCAUACAGCAGCCUAAUUUCCUAAAAAUAAAUACGGAUAUUGGCUGGAUCGCACUUGUCUUAUUACCUUACAGUUUAGCUUAGCUUCAUUCCGUUAUCGUUCGAGUUCCUGCACUGCUCGAAGAGAACCAUGCAUCCCAACGACCCCCUAACCAACGCUGUGCCGCAGUUUGGCCCGCUGGUGGGGCACAUAUCCAGGAACCUGUGGACAACUUUGCUGAGAUCACUGUCAUAUACCCGCACAGUGAGCGGGUUCAUCUUCUCACGUCCUGUAACGAUAGCAGGUGGAGUGAGGAGGACCAUGGUGCCUGCACCUUCCGGAGCCGCCAGCAGUGGUCGCUGAUUGUCCCUAAACCGGGUGGUGUUGGACUGACAGCUCGCGACAGAAUUUAAUAAAAACAUAAUCACAUGACCCCGUUGCAUUAAAUUAUUGCAGUGGAGG
Molecule: long non-coding RNA, 1972 nt
Organism: Gadus morhua (Atlantic cod)
Lineage: Eukaryota; Metazoa; Chordata; Actinopteri; Gadiformes; Gadidae
Exons: 3
Source: RefSeq, a predicted model, not a curated record